GACGAACGCUGGCGGCGUGCCUAAUACAUGCAAGUCGAACGCUUUUUCUUUCACCGGAGCUUGCUCCACCGAAAGAAAAAGAGUGGCGAACGGGUGAGUAACACGUGGGUAACCUGCCCAUCAGAAGGGGAUAACACUUGGAAACAGGUGCUAAUACCGUAUAACACUAUUUUCCGCAUGGAAGAAAGUUGAAAGGCGCUUUUGCGUCACUGAUGGAUGGACCCGCGGUGCAUUAGCUAGUUGGUGAGGUAACGGCUCACCAAGGCAACGAUGCAUAGCCGACCUGGGAGGGUGAUCGGCCACACUGGGACUGAGACACGGCCCAGACUCCUACGGGAGGUAGCAGUAGGGAAUCUUCGGCAAUGGACGAAAGUCUGACCGAGCAACGCCGCGUGAGUGAAGAAGGUUUUCGGAUCGUAAAACUCUGUUGUUAGAGAAGAACAAGGAUGAGAGUAAAACGUUCAUCCCUUGACGGUAUCUAACCAGAAAGCCACGGCUAACUACGUGCCAGCAGCCGCCGUAA
RNAcentral lists this ribosomal RNA (523 nucleotides) under uncultured bacterium. Its description in RNAcentral is "partial 16S ribosomal RNA". It matches the Rfam family "Bacterial small subunit ribosomal RNA", at positions 28 to 523 of the family's 1533-position model. The record is from RNAcentral.